AUACGGAGGGUGCGAGCGUUAAUCGGAAUUACUGGGCGUAAAGCGUGCGUAGGCGGUUUGUUAAGUCAGAAGUGAAAGCCCUGGGCUCAACCUGGGAACGGCUUUUGAGACUGGCAGACUCGAGUUGAGUAGAGGGGAGUGGUAUUUCCGGUGUAGCGGUGAAAUGCGUAGAGAUCGGAAGGAACACCAGUGGCGAAGGCGACUCCCUGGACUCAAACUGACGCUGAGGUACGAAAGCGUGGGUAGCAAACAGGAUUAGAAACCCUAGUAGUCC
This 274-nucleotide ribosomal RNA is filed under the name uncultured bacterium. RNAcentral describes it as "partial 16S ribosomal RNA". It matches the Rfam family "Bacterial small subunit ribosomal RNA", at positions 523 to 796 of the family's 1533-position model. The record is from RNAcentral.